AGCUCCACGAGCAUGUACGUAAGUUGUUGCAGUUAAAAAGCUCGUAGUUGGCUCUCAGACUCGUGGCCGGUGGUCCGCCCGAUAUGGGUGUGUACUGCUGUGCCCGGUCUACAUCUGGUCACUGUUCUUCAGUGCCCUUUACUGGGUGCUGUUGAAUGCCAGAAAUUUUACUCUGAAAAAAUUAGAGUGCUCAAAGCAAGCCGUCGCGCUUGAAUACUGUUGCAUGGAAUAAUGGAAUAGGAUCUCGGUUCUAUUUUGUUGGUUUUCGGAGUCGAGGUAAUGAUUAAGAGGGACAGACGGGGGCAUUCGUAUUGCACCGUUAGAGGUGAAAUUCUUGGAUCGGUGCAAGACGAACGACUGCGAAAGCAUUUGCCAAGGAUGUUUUCA
Molecule: ribosomal RNA, 387 nt
Filed under: marine Metazoa environmental sample
Lineage: Eukaryota; Metazoa
Description: SSU rRNA
Rfam family: Eukaryotic small subunit ribosomal RNA
Source: RNAcentral